ACCCCAAACAUUUGACAGUGUAUAUUGUUACAAAAGAAUUAUAUUUUAAAUAAAUGCUGUUCUUUUUUACUUUUUAUUGAUUGAUAUAAAUAAAUACAUUUAUAAAUAAAAUAAAUACAUUUUAAGCAUCACAACUGUUUCCAACAUUGAUAAUAAAUCAGCAUAUUAGAAUAAUUUCUGAAGGCCUCAUAUGCAACAGAAACGGGAUAACUGCAAGUUGACCGAUUAAUGAUCAAUCAUAAAUUCAUGAGCAUACAUGUCCGUAGGUGUUGUGGCAGUGAGUCAGGGGAGACAGGUCACCAGUCUGAGGGAGUAAUUGAGAACCGAGUGUGGGAGGAAAAGA
Long non-coding RNA from Carassius carassius (crucian carp), 343 nucleotides. RefSeq lists it as uncharacterized. The transcript is spliced from 2 exons. NCBI's taxonomy places the organism in Eukaryota, Metazoa, Chordata, Actinopteri, Cypriniformes, Cyprinidae. The record is from RefSeq and is a predicted model, not a curated record.